RNAcentral lists this ribosomal RNA (1065 nucleotides) under Apibacter sp. wkB309. RNAcentral's name for it is "bacterial SSU rRNA". It matches the Rfam family "Bacterial small subunit ribosomal RNA", at positions 461 to 1533 of the family's 1533-position model. Lineage: Bacteria; Pseudomonadati; Bacteroidota; Flavobacteriia; Flavobacteriales; Weeksellaceae. The record is from RNAcentral.
GUAAUGUUCUGAAGGUACCAUACGAAUAAGCAUCGGCUAACUCCGUGCCAGCAGCCGCGGUAAUACGGAGGAUGCGAGCGUUAUCCGGAUUUAUUGGGUUUAAAGGGUCCGUAGGCGGGUUGAUAAGUCAGCGGUGAAAACCUGCAGCUUAACUGUAGAACUGCCGUUGAUACUGUUAAUCUUGAAUAGUAUUGAAGUAGCUGGAAUGUGUAGUGUAGCGGUGAAAUGCAUAGAUAUUACACAGAACCCCGAUUGCGAAGGCAGGUUACUAAAUACCGAUUGACGCUGAUGGACGAAAGCGUGGGGAGCGAACAGGAUUAGAUACCCUGGUAGUCCACGCCGUAAACGAUGGAUACUCGUUGUUGGGGGUAAGCCCUCAGUGACUAAGCGAAAGUAAUAAGUAUCCCACCUGGGGAGUACGACCGCAAGGUUGAAACUCAAAGGAAUUGACGGGGGCCCGCACAAGCGGUGGAGCAUGUGGUUUAAUUCGAUGAUACGCGAGGAACCUUACCAGGGCUUAAAUGGGAAUUGACGUACUUAGAAAUAAGUAUUUCUACGGACAAUUUUCAAGGUGCUGCAUGGUUGUCGUCAGCUCGUGCCGUGAGGUGUCAGGUUAAGUCCUAUAACGAGCGCAACCCUUAUCAUUAGUUGCCAGCGAUUAAAGUCGGGAACUCUAAUGAGACUGCCGGUGCAAACCGCGAGGAAGGUGGGGAUGACGUCAAAUCAUCACGGCCCUUACGCCCUGGGCCACACACGUGCUACAAUGGCCGGUACAGAGGGCAGCUACUGGGCAACCAGAUGCGAAUCUCAAAAGCCGGUCUCAGUUCGGAUUGGAGUCUGCAACUCGACUCUAUGAAGCUGGAAUCGCUAGUAAUCGCAGAUCAGCCAUGCUGCGGUGAAUACGUUCCCGGGCCUUGUACACACCGCCCGUCAAGCCAUGGAAGCUGGGGGUACCUGAAGUCGGUGACCGUAAAAGGAGCUGCCUAGGGUAAAACUAGUGACUGGGGCUAAGUCGUAACAAGGUAGCCGUACCGGAAGGUGCGGCUGGAACAUCUCUUUUUUAGA